This 73-nucleotide transfer RNA is filed under the name Chloracidobacterium sp. Its description in RNAcentral is "tRNA-Gly". It matches the Rfam family "tRNA". From Rfam's summary of the family: Transfer RNA (tRNA) molecules are approximately 80 nucleotides in length. Their secondary structure includes four short double-helical elements and three loops (D, anti-codon, and T loops). Lineage: Bacteria; Pseudomonadati; Acidobacteriota; Blastocatellia; Chloracidobacteriales; Chloracidobacteriaceae. The record is from RNAcentral.
GUGGGCGUAGCUCAAACGGGAGAGCGCGAGCGCGCCAUGCUCGAGGUUGGGAGUUCAAACCUCCUCGCCCACU